GGUGACGGCGUGCUUUUUGUAGAACGAUCCAGCGAGUUAAUUUUUACGGCGAGGUUAAGUCAGAUGAUGAAGCCAUAGUGAAAGCGAGCAUUAACAGUGCGAUUUAGUCGUAAGGAUUAGACCCGAAACCAGGUGACCUAACCAUGAGCAGGUUGAAGCAACCUUAAUCGGUUGUGGAGGACCGAACCAGUGUAUAUUGCAAAAUGCUUGGAUGACUUGUGGUUAGCGGUGAAAUGCCAAUCGAACUUGGAGAUAGCUGGUUCUCCGCGAAAUAGUUAUAGGACUAGCGUCGUGUGAUAGCUUACGGGGGUAGAGCUCUGUCAAGAGAUAGGGGGAGCAAUCCUACCUACUCUUAAUAAACUACGAAUACCGUAUGUCUGUAUCACGGCAGUUAGAACGUCGGUGCUAAGAUCGGCGCUCAAAAGGGAAACAGCCCAGACCAUCAUCUAAGGUCCCCAAAUUUACGCUAAGUGGGAAACAAGGUGGAAUUUCUUAAACAGCUAGGAUGUUGGCUUAGAAGCAGCCAUUCAUUUAAAGAGUGCGUAACAGCUCACUAGUCAAGAGAUUCUGCGUGGAAGAUAUAACGGGGCUAAGCGUAAUACCGAAGAUAUGGAUUGCAAUUUAUUGCAGUGGUAGCGGAGCGUUCCUAUCAGCAGUGAAGCCGGACUGUUAAGUACUGGUGGAGCGUUAGGAAGUGAGAAUGCUGGAACGAGUAACCAUAAGACAGGUGAGAAUCCUGUCGGCCGAAAGAGCGAGGUUUCCUGGGCUAUGGUAAUCAUCCCAGGGUUAGUCGGGCCUAAGCCGAGGCGUUUAGCGUAGGCGAUGGACAUCAGGUUAAUAUUCCUGAACUAGUCAAACUUUGUAUGCAGUUAGCGAUGAGAUAGGUGGAGCGGAUUCAUGGUUUAUCCGUUCAAGUGAUAGAGGAAUCUUGAUCGAGUAAAAGUGAACCUACGGGUUUACGAUUCCGCUGAAGGCAUUGACCAGAAAAGCUGGCAUACGCAUGGGUUUGGCUACCCGUACCGCAAACCGACACAGGUGCUCGAGUCGAGGAGACUAAGGCUUACGAGAGAAUGAUUGCUAAGGAACUCGGCAAUACAGCGACCGUAACUUCGGAAUAAGGUCUGCCUACAUUUGUAGGCCGCAGCUAAAGAGCCCACGGAACUGUUUAUCAAAAACUCAGGUCUCUGCUAACACGAAAGUGGAUGUAUAGGGGCUGAAACCUGCCCGGUGCCGGAAGGUUAAGGGGAUUGCUUCACGGUGAGAACUGAAGCCCCGGUGAACGGCGGCGGUAACUAUAACCGUCCUAAGGUAGCGAAAUUCCUUGUCAGGUAAGUUCUGACCCGCACGAAUGGUUAAAUCAUGUGGGCACUGUCUCAGCAAUUAUCUCGGUGAAAAUGCAUUGGCGGUAAAGAUGCCGUCUGUCCGCACCAGGACGAAAAGACCCCGUGGAGCUUCACUACAGCUUUACAUUGUUGUGGGUUCUAACUUGUGUAGUAUAGGUGGGAGACUUUGAAGCAGAUACGCUAGUAUUUGUGGAGUCAUCAGUGAAAUACCACCCCCGUUAGGAUCUGCAUCUAACCUGUGCCGUUAUCCGGUAUAGGGACCGUGUAUGGUUGGUAGUUUAACUGGGGCGGUUGCCUCCUAAAGAGUAGCGGAGGCGUUCAAAGGUUGGCUAGCUACGGAUGGAAAUCGUAGUGGUAGUGUAUACGCAUAAGCCAGCUUGACUGUGAGGAGUACAUUCCGAUCAGAUGCGAAAGCAGGAGUAAGUGAUCCGCUGGACGAACCAUUGGUUCAUGAAUGUGGGAUUGCCAGCGCAAACGGACAAAAGUUACCCCGGGGAUAACAGGCUGAUAGCGCCCAAUAGUUCACAUAGACGGCGCUGUUUGGCACCUCGAUGUCGGCUCAUCACAUCCUGGAGGGGGAGCACCUUCCAAGGGUUCGGCUGUUCGCCGAUUAAAGUGGUACGCGAGCUGGGUUCAGAACGUCGUGAGACAGUUCGGUUUAUAUCCGGUGUGGACGUCAGGAAACUUGCGAGGAUUUGCCCCUAGUACGAGAGGACCGGGGUGAACGCACCUCUGGUGUAUCGGUUGUGACCACCUGUCGCAUUGCCGAGUAGCUAUGUGCGGAGCAGAUAAGCGCUGAAAGCAUAUUAAGCGCGAAACUGACCUCAAGAUUAGGUUUCCCUAUGAGGACACUAAUAGACGAUUAGUUUGAUAGGCACAAGGUGGAAGCACAGUAAUGUGUGGAGCUGAAGUGUACUAAUAGUCCCACUGCCUUUUUAUGU
RNAcentral lists this ribosomal RNA (2284 nucleotides) under human oral metagenome. Its description in RNAcentral is "bacterial LSU rRNA". It matches the Rfam family "Bacterial large subunit ribosomal RNA", at positions 592 to 2925 of the family's 2925-position model. The record is from RNAcentral.